This 303-nucleotide long non-coding RNA is filed under the name Linum usitatissimum (flax). RNAcentral's name for it is "long non-coding RNA (LUSI_LNC000943)". The record is from RNAcentral. Lineage: Eukaryota; Viridiplantae; Streptophyta; Magnoliopsida; Malpighiales; Linaceae.
CAUCCAAUAUGUCCCGAACUGCUCUAGCCAGCAAAGCAAAUAUGUCCGGCAAACCUCCUGGAGGAAAUUCCAUGAUGUUGGUAGGGUCUGUAGGAGUGAGCCCUGGUCUAUAAUCAUACGUUUCCUGCCACAACCGAGGAUUAGCAUAAUAGCCCGAGGUCCUGCACCACUCGCAAUCGUCGCCUUGAAUCUCCUCUCCACUGGGGAAUGGUCUUUGGUGAAAGUAAAGACGAGCAGAAUCUAACCCAGACCUCAGGAGAGCACCAUCAGUGGCUGAAAACUGAAUGAUUGCAGCGGAAUACU